AGUGAACGCUGGCGGUAGGCCUAACACAUGCAAGUCGAACGGCAGCACAGUAAGAGCUUGCUCUUACGGGUGGCGAGUGGCGGACGGGUGAGGAAUACAUCGGAAUCUACUUUUCGUGGGGGAUAACGUAGGGAAACUUACGCUAAUACCGCAUACGACCUACGGGUGAAAGCAGGGGAUCUUCGGACCUUGCGCGAUUGAAUGAGCCGAUGUCGGAUUAGCUAGUUGGCGGGGUAAAGGCCCACCAAGGCGACGAUCCGUAGCUGGUCUGAGAGGAUGAUCAGCCACACUGGAACUGAGACACGGUCCAGACUCCUACGGGAGGCAGCAGUGGGGAAUAUUGGACAAUGGGCGCAAGCCUGAUCCAGCCAUACCGCGUGGGUGAAGAAGGCCUUCGGGUUGUAAAGCCCUUUUGUUGGGAAAGAAAAGCAGCAGGUUAAUACCCCGCUGUUCUGACGGUACCCAAAGAAUAAGCACCGGCUAACUUCGU
This 490-nucleotide ribosomal RNA is filed under the name uncultured bacterium. RNAcentral's name for it is "partial 16S ribosomal RNA". It matches the Rfam family "Bacterial small subunit ribosomal RNA", at positions 29 to 506 of the family's 1533-position model. The record is from RNAcentral.